AUUACUUCUUAGCCUUUUGGCUAAGAUCAAGUAAGGUAUCUGUUCUCAUCACUUCAAUAUUACCCAAAUAUGUACAUACAGGUUGUCAUUAAUGCUGUUUGCAUGUCCAUCCACUGUCUCUGUAAGGAGAUGUAGGAGUCUUAUUAAU
RNAcentral lists this small nuclear RNA (148 nucleotides) under Cavia porcellus (domestic guinea pig). RNAcentral describes it as "U2 spliceosomal RNA". It matches the Rfam family "U2 spliceosomal RNA". Rfam says of the family: U2 is a small nuclear RNA (snRNA) component of the spliceosome (involved in pre-mRNA splicing). Complementary binding between U2 snRNA (in an area lying towards the 5' end but 3' to hairpin I) and the branchpoint sequence (BPS) of the intron results the bulging out of an unpaired adenosine, on the BPS, which initiates a nucleophilic attack at the intronic 5' splice site, thus starting the first of two transesterification reactions that mediate splicing. Lineage: Eukaryota; Metazoa; Chordata; Mammalia; Rodentia; Caviidae. The record is from Rfam by way of RNAcentral.